GAAUGGUUUUAUUUUCAUUAAAUUCAUUACAUAUUGGUUGCUAAGAAAAUUUUUACAAACAGUUUCGUUUCCAUGGUGAUGUUGUAGGCGUAGGUGAUGUUUUAAUCAGCAAACUAUAAUAAAUAUUACCUUAUAAAUUCUGGUCUGGGCCCAUAACCUGUUGGAUGGUUACAUUUUGAAGGGAUUGGGUUCUGUAGGUGAUGAGGGGCUAUUUAAAAACACAACUGCUUCAUUAUAAUUAUAUUGCAGAUUGCUUGAACACUUUUACACCAUAAUACAAUUAUUAUCUUCAUAUUUUUUAAUAAAACUAUUACAUGUUUUUCAUGCCGUGUCUAGAUGAG
Molecule: long non-coding RNA, 341 nt
Organism: Bombyx mori (domestic silkworm)
Lineage: Eukaryota; Metazoa; Arthropoda; Insecta; Lepidoptera; Bombycidae
Exons: 2
Source: RefSeq, a predicted model, not a curated record